Molecule: ribosomal RNA, 372 nt
Filed under: uncultured bacterium
Lineage: Bacteria
Description: bacterial SSU rRNA
Rfam family: Bacterial small subunit ribosomal RNA
Source: RNAcentral
AUACGUAGGGGGCAAGCGUUAUCCGGAAUCAUUGGGCGUAAAGGGUGCGUAGGCGGCCCUAUGGGUCAGAGGUUAAAGGCUACGGCUCAACCGUAGUAAGCCUUUGAAACUGUAGGGCUUGAGUGCAGGAGAGGAGAGUGGAAUUCCUAGUGUAGCGGUGAAAUGCGUAGAUAUUAGGAGGAACACCAGUGGCGAAGGCGACUCUCUGGACUGUAACUGACGCUGAGGCACGAAAGCGUGGGUAGCGAACAGGAUUAGAUACCCUGGUAGUCCACGCCGUAAACGAUGAGUGCUAGGUGUUGGGGGUCAAACCUCGGUGCCGCAGUUAACGCAUUAAGCACUCCGCCUGGGGAGUACGUACGCAAGUAUGAA